UGGGGAAUAUUGGACAAUGGGCGAAAGCCUGAUCCAGCCAUGCCGCGUGUGUGAAGAAGGUCUUCGGAUUGUAAAGCACUUUAAGUUGGGAGGAAGGGCAGUAAGCGAAUACCUUGCUGUUUUGACGUUACCGACAGAAUAAGCACCGGCUAACUCUGUGCCAGCAGCCGCGGUAAUACAGAGGGUGCAAGCGUUAAUCGGAAUUACUGGGCGUAAAGCGCGCGUAGGUGGUUCGUUAAGUUGAAUGUGAAAGCCCCGGGCUCAACCUGGGAACUGCAUCCAAAACUGGCGAGCUAUAGUAGGGCAGAGGGUGGUGGAAUUUCCUGUGUAGCGGUGAAAUGCGUAGAUAUAGGAAGGAACACCAGUGGCGAAGGCGACCACCUGGGCUCAUACUGACACUGAGGUGCGAAAGCGUGGGGAGCAAACAGG
Molecule: ribosomal RNA, 429 nt
Filed under: Pseudomonadota bacterium
Lineage: Bacteria; Pseudomonadati; Pseudomonadota
Description: Proteobacteria bacterium partial 16S ribosomal RNA
Rfam family: Bacterial small subunit ribosomal RNA
Source: RNAcentral